Molecule: ribosomal RNA, 429 nt
Filed under: uncultured Gammaproteobacteria bacterium
Lineage: Bacteria; Pseudomonadati; Pseudomonadota; Gammaproteobacteria
Description: bacterial SSU rRNA
Rfam family: Bacterial small subunit ribosomal RNA
Source: RNAcentral
UGGGGAAUAUUGGACAAUGGGCGCAAGCCUGAUCCAGCAAUGCCGCGUGGGUGAAGACGGCCUGCGGGUUGUAAAGCCCUUUAGGCGGGGAGGAACGGUCGGAGGCUAACAGCGUCCGACGCUGACGUUACCCGCGGAAUAAGCACCGGCUAACUCCGUGCCAGCAGCCGCGGUAAUACGGAGGGUGCGAGCGUUAAUCGGAAUUACUGGGCGUAAAGCGUGCGUAGGCGGUCGCGUCAGUCAGCCGUGAAAGCCCUGGGCUCAACCUGGGAACGGCGGUUGAGACGGCGCGACUGGAGUGGGCUAGAGGAUCGUGGAAUUCCCGGUGUAGCGGUGAAAUGCGUAGAGAUCGGGAAGAACACCGAUGGCGAAGGCAGCGGUCUGGGGCCACACUGACGCUGAGGCACGAAAGCGUGGGGAGCAAACAGG